RNAcentral lists this ribosomal RNA (433 nucleotides) under uncultured bacterium. Its description in RNAcentral is "partial 16S ribosomal RNA". It matches the Rfam family "Bacterial small subunit ribosomal RNA", at positions 29 to 507 of the family's 1533-position model. The record is from RNAcentral.
AACGAACGCUGGCGGCAUGCCUAACACAUGCAAGUCGAACGAGACCUUCGUGUCUAGUGGCGCUCGGGUGCGUAAUGUGAGGGAACCUGCCCUUAGGUUCGGAAUGAUUACCUGAAAGGGGUGCUAAGAUCGGUUAAUGUCUCCGUACCUAAGAUUUCUCGCCUUUGGUUGUGGCCUCGUUGGUUUAGCUAGUUGGUAGGGUAAUAGCCUACCAAUGCGACUAUCCAUAGCUGGGCUGUGAGGAUGAUCAGCCACACUGGGACUGAGACACGGCCCAGACUCCUACGGGAGGCAGCAGUGGGGAAUAUUGGACAAUGGGCGAAAGCCUGAUCCAGCAAUGCCGCGUGAGUGAUGAAGGCCUUAGGGUUGUAAAGCUCUUUUACCCGGGAUGAUAAUGACAGUACCGGGAGAAUAAGCUCCGGCUAACUCCGUG